UACGAAGGGGGCUAGCGUUGGUCGGAAUUACUGGGCGUAAAGCGGGUGUAGGCGGAUCGCUAAGUCGGGGGUGAAAGCCCAGGGCUCAACCCUGGAAUUGCCUUCGAUACUGGCGGUCUCGAGUUCAAGAGAGGUGAGCGGAAUUCCGAGUGUAGAGGUGAAAUUCGUAGAUAUUCGGAGGAACACCAGAGGCGAAGGCGGCUCACUGGACUGAUACUGAGGCUGAGACCCGAAAGCGUGGGGAGCAAACAGG
Molecule: ribosomal RNA, 253 nt
Filed under: uncultured bacterium
Lineage: Bacteria
Description: partial 16S ribosomal RNA
Rfam family: Bacterial small subunit ribosomal RNA
Source: RNAcentral